CCUACGGGAGGCAGCAGUGAGGAAUAUUGGUCAAUGGACGAGAGUCUGAACCAGCCAAGUAGCGUGAAGGAUGACUGCCCUAUGGGUUGUAAACUUCUUUUAUAUGGGAAUAAAACAGGGUAUGCAUACCCUCUUGUCUGUACCAUAUGAAUAAGGAUCGGCUAACUCCGUGCCAGCAGCCGCGGUAAUACGGAGGAUGCGAGCGUUAUCCGGAUUUAUUGGGUUUAAAGGGUGCGUAGGCGGGAUGCCAAGUCAGCGGUCAAAUACGGGGGCUCAACCUGGGUCCGCCGUUGAAACUGGCGUUCUUGAGUGGGCGAGAAGUACGCGGAAUGCGUGGUGUAGCGGUGAAAUGCAUAGAUAUCGCGCAGAACCCCGAUUGCGAAGGCAGCGUACCGGCGCCCGACUGACGCUGAGGCACGAAAGCGUGGGUAUCGAACAGGAUUAGAUACCCGGGUAGUC
This 459-nucleotide ribosomal RNA is filed under the name uncultured bacterium. RNAcentral's name for it is "partial 16S ribosomal RNA". It matches the Rfam family "Bacterial small subunit ribosomal RNA", at positions 338 to 795 of the family's 1533-position model. The record is from RNAcentral.